UACGGAGGAUGCAAGCGUUAUCCGGAAUGAUUGGGCGUAAAGCGUCCGCAGGUGGCUAUGUAAGUCUGCUGUUAAAGAGUGAGGCUCAACCUCAUAAGAGCAGUGGAAACUACAUGGCUAGAGUGCGUUCGGGGCAGAGGGAAUUCCUGGUGUAGCGGUGAAAUGCGUAGAUAUCAGGAAGAACACCGGUGGCGAAAGCGCUCUGCUAGGCCGCAACUGACACUGAGGGACGAAAGUUAGGGGAGCGAAUGGG
This 253-nucleotide ribosomal RNA is filed under the name uncultured bacterium. Its description in RNAcentral is "partial 16S ribosomal RNA". It matches the Rfam family "Bacterial small subunit ribosomal RNA", at positions 524 to 776 of the family's 1533-position model. The record is from RNAcentral.